RNAcentral lists this ribosomal RNA (811 nucleotides) under uncultured archaeon. Its description in RNAcentral is "bacterial SSU rRNA". It matches the Rfam family "Archaeal small subunit ribosomal RNA", at positions 53 to 842 of the family's 1478-position model. The record is from RNAcentral.
GCGAGUUGAGCGUCUCUAGCUAUGUUGAGACGCGGCAUACGGCUCAGUAACACGUGGCUAACCUACCCUCAGGACGGGGACAAACCCGGGAAACUGGGGCUAAUAUCCGAUAGGCGAGGAAUCCUGGAAUGGGUCCUCACCCAAAGGACAUUGGAAACAUGCUUUCUCUGUCGCCUGGGGAUGGGGCCGCGACCGAUCAGGUUGUUGGUGAGGUAAUGGCUCACCAAGCCUUUAACCGGUACGGGCCGUGAGAGCGGUAGCCCGGAGAUGGGUACUGAGACCAGGACCCAGGCCCUACGGGGCGCAGCAGUCGCGAAAACUCCGCAAUGCACGAAAGUGUGACGGGGCUACCCCGAGUGCCGUCCGCUGAGGAUGGCUUUUCCUUGGUGUAACUAGCCGGGGGAAUAAGGAGAGGGCAAGACCGGUGUCAGCCGCCGCGGUAAUACCAGCUCUCCGAGUGGUAGGGAUGAUUAUUGGGCUUAAAGCGUCCGUAGCCGGCUUAGCAAGUUUCCUGUUAAAUUCAGCGACCUAAUCGUUGAGCCGCGGGAAAUACUACUAGGCUAGGAGGCGGGAGAGGUCGACGGUACUUCUGGGGUAGGGGUGAAAUCCUAUAAUCCCGGGAGGACCACCAGUGGCGAAGGCUGUCGACUAGAACGCGCUCGACGGUGAGGGACGAAAGCUGGGGGAGCGAACCGGAUUAGAUACCCGGGUAGUCCCAGCUGUAAACGAUGCGGGCUAGGUGUUGGGGUGGCUACGUGCCACUUCAGUGCCGCAGGGAAGCCAUUAAGCCCGCCGCCUGGGGAGUACGGCC